AAAGCGUUCCAGACAGUCGCCGCCGCCGCAAGGCGGGGGAGGAAAGUCCGGACUCCACAGGGCAGGGUGAUGGCUAACGGCCAUCCGUGGCAACACGCGGAACAGGGCAACAGAAAGCAAACCGCCGAUGGCCCCGGGCUUCGGUCCGGCGGAUCAGGUAAGGGUGAAACGGUGCGGUAAGAGCGCACCGCGGCUGCGGUGACGUGGCCGGCACGGUAACCUCCACCCGGAGCAAUUCCAAAUAGGCAGGCACGGCGACCUUCGGGGCGCCAGGACGGGGCCCCCGUUCGCCUGCGGGUAGGGAGCUCGAGCGCGUCAGCAAUGACGCGUCUAGAUGAAUGACUGUCACGCGCUUUCGGGCGCGCACAGAAUCCGGCUUAUCGGAACGCUUUGCCC
This 396-nucleotide RNase P RNA is filed under the name Robbsia betulipollinis. RNAcentral's name for it is "RNase P RNA component class A". It matches the Rfam family "Bacterial RNase P class A". From Rfam's summary of the family: Ribonuclease P (RNase P) is a ubiquitous endoribonuclease, found in archaea, bacteria and eukarya as well as chloroplasts and mitochondria. Its best characterised activity is the generation of mature 5'-ends of tRNAs by cleaving the 5'-leader elements of precursor-tRNAs. Cellular RNase Ps are ribonucleoproteins. Lineage: Bacteria; Pseudomonadati; Pseudomonadota; Betaproteobacteria; Burkholderiales; Burkholderiaceae. The record is from RNAcentral.